Molecule: ribosomal RNA, 253 nt
Filed under: uncultured bacterium
Lineage: Bacteria
Description: partial 16S ribosomal RNA
Rfam family: Bacterial small subunit ribosomal RNA
Source: RNAcentral
UACGUAGGUGGCAAGCGUUGUCCGGAUUUAUUGGGUUUAAAGGGUGCGUAGGCGGUCUUCUAAGUCAGUUGUGAAAUACUUUAGCUUAACUGGAGAGGUGCAAUUGAUACUGGAAGACUUGAGUACUGAUGAGGUAGGCGGAAUGGACGGUGUAGCGGUGAAAUGCUUAGAUAUCGUCCAGAACACCGAUAGCGAAGGCAGCUUACUAAGGAGUAACUGACGCUGAGGCACGAAAGUGUGGGGAUCAAACAGG